This 813-nucleotide ribosomal RNA is filed under the name uncultured bacterium. RNAcentral's name for it is "bacterial SSU rRNA". It matches the Rfam family "Bacterial small subunit ribosomal RNA", at positions 8 to 796 of the family's 1533-position model. The record is from RNAcentral.
AGAGUUUGAUCAUGGCUCAGAACGAACGCUGGCGGCGUGCCUAACACAUGCAAGUCGAACGGAAUUAAGGGGCUUGCUCCUUAAUUUAGUGGCGCACGGGUGAGUAAUGCGUGGAUAACCUACCCUGGUAUCCGGGAUAACAUCUCGAAAGGGGUGCUAAUACGGGAUAAGCCCACGGGGUCUUCGGACCCUGCGGGAAAAGGUGGCCUCUAUUUAUAAGCUACCGUAUCAGGAUGGGUCCACGUACCAUUAGCUAGUUGGUGGGGUAACGGCCUACCAAGGCGACGAUGGUUAGCUGGUCUGAGAGGAUGAUCAGCCACACUGGAACUGAGACACGGUCCAGACUCCUACGGGAGGCAGCAGUGGGGAAUUUUGCGCAAUGGGGGAAACCCUGACGCAGCAACGCCGCGUGAGUGAUGAAGGCCUUCGGGUCGUAAAGCUCUGUCAGAGGGAAAGAAGUGUAUAGUGGUUAAUACCCAUUAUACUUGACGGUACCCUCAAAGGAAGCACCGGCUAACUCCGUGCCAGCAGCCGCGGUAAUACGGAGGGUGCGAGCGUUGUUCGGAAUUAUUGGGCGUAAAGCGCGUGUAGGCGGCUCCUUAAGUCUGAUGUGAAAGCCCCGGGCUCAACCUGGGAAGUGCAUUGGAAACUGGGGAACUUGAAUACGGGAGAGGGUAGUGGAAUUCCUGGUGUAGGAGUGAAAUCCGUAGAUAUCAGGAGGAACACCGGUGGCGAAGGCGGCUACCUGGACCGAUAUUGACGCUGAGACGCGAAAGCGUGGGGAGCAAACAGGAUUAGAUACCCUAGUAGUCC